UAAUGUCUGGGAAACUGCCUGAUGGAGGGGGAGUAACUACUGGAAACGGUAGCUAAUACCGCAUAAUGUCGCAAGACCAAAGAGGGGGACCUUCGGGCCUCUUGCCAUCGGAUGUGCCCAGAUGGGAUUAGCUAGUAGGUGGGGUAACGGCUCACCUAGGCGACGAUCCCUAGCUGGUCUGAGAGGAUGACCAGCCACACUGGAACUGAGACACGGUCCAGACUCCUACGGGAGGCAGCAUG
This 242-nucleotide ribosomal RNA is filed under the name uncultured bacterium. RNAcentral's name for it is "partial 16S ribosomal RNA". It matches the Rfam family "Bacterial small subunit ribosomal RNA", at positions 111 to 353 of the family's 1533-position model. The record is from RNAcentral.